AGAUUAAGUUAUUAAGGGCGCACGGUGGAUGCCUUGGCACUAGAAGCUGACGAAGGACGUUACUAACGACGAUAUGCUUUGGGUAGCUGUAAGUAAGCGUUGAUCCAGAGAUUUCCGAAUGGGGGAACCCAGCACGAGUUAUGUCGUGUUAUCGACAAGUGAAUUCAUAGCUUGUCAGAAGGCAGACCCGGAGAACUGAAACAUCUUAGUACCCGGAGGAAGAGAAAGAAAAAUCGAUUCCCUGAGUAGCGGCGAGCGAAACGGGAAGAGCCCAAACCAAUAAGCUUGCUUAUUGGGGUUGUAGGACACUCUAUACGGAGUUACAAAGGAAUAUAUUAGACGAAUCAUCUGGAAAGUUGAAUCAAAGAAGGUAAUAAUCCUGUAGUUGAAAAUAUAUUCUCUCUUGAGUGGAUCCUGAGUACGACGGAGCACGUGAAAUUCCGUCGGAAUCUGGGAGGACCAUCUCCUAAGGCUAAAUACUCUCUAGUGACCGAUAGUGAACCAGUACCGUGAGGGAAAGGUGAAAAGUACCCCGGAAGGGGAGUGAAAGAGAACUUGAAACCGUGUGCUUACAAGUAGUCAGAGCCCGUUAAUGGGUGAUGGCGUGCCUUUUGUAGAAUGAACCGGCGAGUUACGAUCUGAUGCAAGGUUAAGCAGGAAAUGUGGAGCCGUAGCGAAAGCGAGUCUGAAUAGGGCGUUGAGUAUUUGGUCGUAGACCCGAAACCAGGUGAUCUACCCAUGGUCAGGUUGAAGUUCAGGUAACACUGAAUGGAGGACCGAACCGACUUACGUUGAAAAGUGAGCGGAUGAACUGUGGGUAGCGGAGAAAUUCCAAUCGAACUUGGAGAUAGCUGGUUCUCUCCGAAAUAGCUUUAGGGCUAGCCUCAAGUGAUGAUUAUUGGAGGUAGAGCACUGUUUGGACGAGGGGCCCCUCUCGGGUUACCGAAUUCAGACAAACUCCGAAUGCCAAUUAAUUUAACUUGGGAGUCAGAACAUGGGUGAUAAGGUCCGUGUUCGAAAGGGAAACAGCCCAGACCACCAGCUAAGGUCCCAAAAUAUAUGUUAAGUGGAAAAGGAUGUGGCGUUGCCCAGACAACUAGGAUGUUGGCUUAGAAGCAGCCAUCAUUUAAAGAGUGCGUAAUAGCUCACUAGUCGAGUGACACUGCGCCGAAAAUGUACCGGGGCUAAACAUAUUACCGAAGCUGUGGAUUGUCCGUAGGACAAUGGUAGGAGAGCGUUCUAAGGGCGUUGAAGCAUGAUCGCAAGGACAUGUGGAGCGCUUAGAAGUGAGAAUGCCGGUGUGAGUAGCGAAAGACGGGUGAGAAUCCCGUCCACCGAUUGACUAAGGUUUCCAGAGGAAGGCUCGUCCGCUCUGGGUUAGUCGGGUCCUAAGCUGAGGCCGACAGGCGUAGGCGAUGGAUAACAGGUUGAUAUUCCUGUACCACCUAGCAUCGUUUUAAUCGAUGGGGGGACGCAGUAGGAUAGGCGAAGCGUACGAUUGGAUUGUACGUCCAAGCAGUGAGAUUGAGUGUUAGGCAAAUCCGGCACUCUUAAGAUUGAGCUGUGAUGGGGAGAGGAAAUUGUUUCCUCGAGUCGUUGAUUUCACACUGCCGAGAAAAGCCUCUAGAUAGAUAAUAGGUGCCCGUACCGCAAACCGACACAGGUAGUCAAGAUGAGAAUUCUAAGGUGAGCGAGCGAACUCUCGUUAAGGAACUCGGCAAAAUGACCCCGUAACUUCGGGAGAAGGGGUGCUCUUUAGGGUGCAAGCCCAGAAGAGCCGCAGUGAAUAGGCCCAAGCGACUGUUUAUCAAAAACACAGGUCUCUGCUAAACCGUAAGGUGAUGUAUAGGGGCUGACGCCUGCCCGGUGCUGGAAGGUUAAGAGGAGUAGUUAGCUUCUGCGAAGCUACGAAUCGAAGCCCCAGUAAACGGCGGCCGUAACUAUAACGGUCCUAAGGUAGCGAAAUUCCUUGUCGGGUAAGUUCCGACCCGCACGAAAGGCGUAACGAUUUGGGCACUGUCUCAACGAGAGACUCGGUGAAAUCAUAGUACCUGUGAAGAUGCAGGUUACCCACGACAGGACGGAAAGACCCCGUGGAGCUUUACUGUAGCCUGAUAUUGAAAUUCGGCACAGCUUGUACAGGAUAGGUAGGAGCCUUUGAAACGUGAGCGCUAGCUUACGUGGAGGCGCUGGUGGGAUACUACCCUAGCUGUGUUGGCUUUCUAACCCGCACCACUUAUCGUGGUGGGAGACAGUGUCAGGCGGGCAGUUUGACUGGGGCGGUCGCCUCCUAAAAGGUAACGGAGGCGCUCAAAGGUUCCCUCAGAAUGGUUGGAAAUCAUUCAUAGAGUGUAAAGGCAUAAGGGAGCUUGACUGCGAGACCUACAAGUCGAGCAGGGUCGAAAGACGGACUUAGUGAUCCGGUGGUUCCGCAUGGAAGGGCCAUCGCUCAACGGAUAAAAGCUACCCCGGGGAUAACAGGCUUAUCUCCCCCAAGAGUUCACAUCGACGGGGAGGUUUGGCACCUCGAUGUCGGCUCAUCGCAUCCUGGGGCUGUAGUCGGUCCCAAGGGUUGGGCUGUUCGCCCAUUAAAGCGGUACGCGAGCUGGGUUCAGAACGUCGUGAGACAGUUCGGUCCCUAUCCGUCGUGGGCGUAGGAAAUUUGAGAGGAGCUGUCCUUAGUACGAGAGGACCGGGAUGGACAUACCUCUGGUGUACCAGUUGUCGUGCCAACGGCAUAGCUGGGUAGCUAUGUAUGGACGGGAUAAGUGCUGAAAGCAUCUAAGCAUGAAGCCCCCCUCAAGAUGAGAUUUCCCAACUUCGGUUAUAAGAUCCCUCAAAGAUGAUGAGGUUAAUAGGUUCGAGGUGGAAGCGUGGUGACACGUGGAGCUGACGAAUACUAAUCGAUCGAAGACUUAAUCAAUUU
RNAcentral lists this ribosomal RNA (2926 nucleotides) under Staphylococcus haemolyticus. RNAcentral's name for it is "bacterial LSU rRNA". It matches the Rfam family "Bacterial large subunit ribosomal RNA". Lineage: Bacteria; Bacillati; Bacillota; Bacilli; Caryophanales; Staphylococcaceae. The record is from RNAcentral.